GGAUGGGAAUUUUCAGUGGUAGAAUGCUCGCCUGCCACGCGGGCGGCCCGGGUUCGAUUCCCGGCCGAUGCA
Non-coding RNA from Cordylochernes scorpioides, 72 nucleotides. The record is from the annotation of a GenBank genome assembly. NCBI's taxonomy places the organism in Eukaryota, Metazoa, Arthropoda, Arachnida, Pseudoscorpiones, Chernetidae.